Molecule: long non-coding RNA, 509 nt
Filed under: Musa acuminata (dwarf banana)
Lineage: Eukaryota; Viridiplantae; Streptophyta; Magnoliopsida; Zingiberales; Musaceae
Description: long non-coding RNA (MACU_LNC006388)
Source: RNAcentral
GGGGGCGGUGGUGGAUUCACAGAACUUCGCGGAAGGUGCAGACGAUGAAGACGAUCUGCUCCACCAUUACAAAGAAACGUAAUGUCAUUAUUCUUUCAGCGGUUGCAGAAGAACCCUAGGCGUGAUGAUGCUUCCUUCUCUUCUUUGCCGAAGAUAUCUGCAAGUUGCAUGAUGGAUGGCAUCAACCAUCUCGAUGCAUUGGAUGCCAACUUCCUUAGCAACAGCUGAAGCUUAUCACUUUGCAGAUGUCAUGGUGCAGACCAUUUCAGCUAACUGGUCGGUGCCGGUGAGGUCCCUCAAACCUGAAUGGAAUAAAUAGGCAGUGGAAUCGUCUUCUUCACCGUCAAACCUGAAUGGCUUGGACUGGUGUGGUGGUAGUAGGAGAUCAAGUGAGGGGGAGAGGAGGUCAGAUGUCCUUGUUGUGGACUGAGUACUUGUGCUGUCUCGACUUGGAGGUGGCAAACAUCAAUACCAACAUGAAGAAUGCAGAAAUGUCAAUGGAAAUUAAA